GAGCACGUAGGUGGUUUGUAAGUCAGAUGUGAAAGCCUUCUGUUCAACGGGAGAAUUGCAUCUGAAACUGCUAAUCUUGAGUAUAGGAGGGGAGAAUGGAACUUCUGGUGGAGCGGUGAAAUGCGUAGAUAUCAGAAGGAACGCCGGCGGCGAAAGCGAUUCUCUGGCCUAUUACUGACACUCAGUGUGCGAAAGCUAGGGGAGCAAACGGGAUUAGAUACCCCGGAGCAGCUGAU
RNAcentral lists this ribosomal RNA (236 nucleotides) under Candidatus Scalindua brodae. Its description in RNAcentral is "partial 16S ribosomal RNA". It matches the Rfam family "Bacterial small subunit ribosomal RNA", at positions 565 to 804 of the family's 1533-position model. Lineage: Bacteria; Pseudomonadati; Planctomycetota; Candidatus Brocadiia; Candidatus Brocadiales; Candidatus Scalinduaceae. The record is from RNAcentral.